This 497-nucleotide ribosomal RNA is filed under the name uncultured bacterium. RNAcentral describes it as "partial 16S ribosomal RNA". It matches the Rfam family "Bacterial small subunit ribosomal RNA", at positions 28 to 507 of the family's 1533-position model. The record is from RNAcentral.
GAUGAACGCUGGCGGCGUGCCUAAUACAUGCAAGUCGAGCGAACAGACGAGGAGCUUGCUCCUCUGACGUUAGCGGCGGACGGGUGAGUAACACGUGGAUAACCUACCUAUAAGACUGGGAUAACUUCGGGAAACCGGAGCUAAUACCGGAUAAUAUAUUGAACCGCAUGGUUCAAUAGUGAAAGACGGUUUUGCUGUCACUUAUAGAUGGAUCCGCGCCGCAUUAGCUAGUUGGUAAGGUAACGGCCUACCAAGGCGACGAUGCGUAGCCGACCUGAGAGGGUGAUCGGCCACACUGGAACUGAGACACGGUCCAGACUCCUACGGGAGGCAGCAGUAGGGAAUCUUCCGCAAAGGGCGAAAGCCUGACGGAGCAACGCCGCGUGAGUGAUGAAGGUCUUCGGAUCGUAAAACUCUGUUAUUAGGGAAGAACAAAUGUGUAAGUAACUAUGCACGUCUUGACGGUACCUAAUCAGAAAGCCACGGCUAACUACGUG